AGUUCUAUAUUCAAGGAUGAUAACAGAAUGCAAUUCUGUAGGAGUAGGAAACUACUAGAACUU
This 63-nucleotide transfer RNA is filed under the name Diploptera punctata (Pacific beetle cockroach). Its description in RNAcentral is "tRNA-Cys". Lineage: Eukaryota; Metazoa; Arthropoda; Insecta; Blattodea; Blaberidae. The record is from RNAcentral.